This 565-nucleotide ribosomal RNA is filed under the name uncultured bacterium. RNAcentral describes it as "bacterial SSU rRNA". It matches the Rfam family "Bacterial small subunit ribosomal RNA", at positions 338 to 916 of the family's 1533-position model. The record is from RNAcentral.
CCUACGGGAGGCAGCAGUGGGGAAUCUUCCGCAAUGGGCGAAAGCCUGACGGAGCAACGCCGCGUGAGUGACGAAGGCCUUUGGGUUGUAAAACUCUGUCUUUGGGGAAGAAACAAAUGACGGUACCCAAGGAGGAAGCCCCGGCUAACUACGUGCCAGCAGCCGCGGUAAAACGUAGGGGGCGAGCGUUGUCCGGAAUUACUGGGCGUAAAGGGCGCGUAGGCGGUUUACCAAGUCAGAGGUGAAAACUGUGGGCUCAACCCACAGCCUGCCUAUGAAACUGGUAGACUUGAGGGCAGGAGAGGGGAGUGGAAUUCCCAGUGUAGCGGUGAAAUGCGUAGAUAUUGGGAGGAACACCAGUGGCGAAGGCGACUCUCUGGCCUGUUACUGACGCUGAGGCGCGAAAGCGUGGGGAGCAAACGGGAUUAGAUACCCCGGUAGUCCACGCUGUAAACGAUGGGUGCUAGGUGUAGGAGGUAUCGACCCCUUCUGUGCCGUAGUUAGCACAAUAAGCACCCCGCCUGGGGAGUACGGCCGCAAGGUUGAAACUCAAAGGAAUUGACGG